GCCAUGAGCGUCCCCCUCCUGUGCUGGGGGGUGUGGGGUCUCCUGCAGGCAGGUGUGGUGAAGGCUGGGGUCUCUCAGAGCCCCAGAUUCCAGAUCCUGAGGGCAGGACAGAGCAGGAACCUGAGUUGUGUCCAGGAUAUGAACCACGACUACAUGUACUGGUAUCGCCAGGACCGGGGACUUGGGCUGAGGCUGAUCCACUACUCAAUCCGCAAUGAGAUAUACAAGGGAGACAUCCCCGAUGGGUACAAGGUCUCUAGACCAAGCACAGCCAACUUCCUGCUCACGCUGGAGUCUGCCACCACCUCCCAGACAGCUGUGUACUUCUGUGCCACCAGCUAUGCACAGCGCUGCAGACUGACCUCCUCUCUGUACAAGAAGGCAGGGCCCUGCACCCCGGACUCAUCAUGCCCUUUGCAGACCCAGAAUAGGGAACCCAGGAGCCCUGAGGCCCUGGGCAUUGUGAAUCCAGGCCCAGUGGACUCUGAAGUCACGCAGAACCCCAAGUAUCUGGUCACAGUGAGAGGACAGAACGUGACCCUCACAUGUUCCUAUGAGUCUGGAACUGUCUGUGUACUGUCAGUGACAGCGGUUCUGCAGGUAGAUGCCCCCAUGACAUGGGAUGUUCCAGAUGAAAAGAGAACAUUUUCCAUCUCCCUGGAUCUGCCCUUCCUCUGA
Non-coding RNA from Talpa occidentalis (Iberian mole), 678 nucleotides. The record is from the annotation of a RefSeq genome assembly. Lineage: Eukaryota; Metazoa; Chordata; Mammalia; Eulipotyphla; Talpidae.